Molecule: ribosomal RNA, 847 nt
Filed under: Coomansus batxatensis
Lineage: Eukaryota; Metazoa; Nematoda; Enoplea; Mononchida; Mononchidae
Description: SSU rRNA
Rfam family: Eukaryotic small subunit ribosomal RNA
Source: RNAcentral
UACAACAGCCACCGUUUAUUAGAUCUUAGUUAUCUACUUGGAUAACUGUGGCAAUUCUAGAGCUAAUACAUGCACGCAAGCUCGGACCUUAUGGGAAGAGCGCAUUUAUUAGACCAAAACCAAUCAAGCUUCGGUUUGUGUUUUGGUGACUCUGAAUAACUAAGUUGAUCGCACAGUCUUAGUACUGGCGACGUAUUUUUCAAAUGUCUGCCUUAUCAACUUUCGAUGGUAGGUUAUACGCCUACCAUGGUUAUAACGGGUAACGGAGAAUAAGGGUUCGACUCCGGAGAGGGAGCCUGAGAAAUGGCUACCACAUCCAAGGAAGGCAGCAGGCGCGCAAAUUACCCAAUCCCAGAACGGGGAGGUAGUGACGAAAAAUAACGAGGUAGUCCACUUUGUGGCCUGCCAUCGGAAUGGGUACAAUUUAAAUCUUUUAACGAGGAUCUAUUAGAGGGCAAGUCUGGUGCCAGCAGCCGCGGUAAUUCCAGCUCUAAUAGCGUAUAUUAAAGUUGUUGUGGUUAAAACGCCCGUAGUUGAAUCUUCGGUCUUGAAGCUCGGUAACUCGUAAGGGUUUAACUGAGUCUUCUGGCCUAAAUUUUAGUAUUCUCCUGAUGCUCUUUAUUGAGUGUCUUGAGUUGCUAGAACGUUUACUUUGAAAAAAUUAGAGUGCUAAAAGCAGGCUAUAUGCUUGAAUAAAGUGCAUGGAAUAAUGGAAUAGGACUUUAGUUUUAUUUUGUUGGUUUUCGAAAUUAAAGUAAUGAUUAAGAGGAACAGACGGGGGCAUUAGUAUUGUUGCGUUAGAGGUGAAAUUCUUGGAUCGCAGCAAGACUAACAACUGCGAAAGCAU